GAACGUAGCAAAAUUCCGCGCGCGCCGGUUUCUAGGCUACCGGCUGAUGGUAUAUCGGUUUCGGGUUAUCUAUUUGAUGAUCUGACAAACAAGUUUCCCUGGUCUGAACGGUCUAGUAAUUUUCUGACUUCAAGCUCCGCGUCGUGCAACAAAGUAUCGGCUCGGCUAAGAUACGUAAUACGUUGCGUUCCUGGAAUCGUAGAAAAGAAGUAUGGAAUUCUGUGUCACAGGUGUAUAGGAGGCGACAUGCGUCGCGUGCACGAGGAAGAUAUUUCAUUCAAAGACACGUUUCGCAGAUAUAUUUUCUUCUUUUCUGUAUGGCUGCGUUGCGUGUAAAGAUACUUGCAUUGAACUUCGAAUUAUUUGAUAAUUUAUGGUUUGGUUGUUAUUUGAAUGUUAUUUUCUGUGUUUCUGCUGUUUGUGUUUGUGAUGCUUGCAGGCUAUUUUUUGGCAUUCUUAUGUUGUGGGUGUAGUUUGAUGUGUAAUGUAAAUCAGUAUAUUUAAAUGAAUUUUAUAAGAGAAAACUGUUAUGUACAGGUUCUGCGAUCGAAGGAUGUUUUGUGGGAUCGGAAACACUUGCAGCAGUUGGUAGUCUUGGGAAGUUAUUAGACGACGUCGCUCGCACAGCUCCAAUAAUGGGGUCACUUACUACAGCUGUUUUUAAUUUUGCGAUUCGCAAAAUGUCCAUGGAAUCGCUUUUUCCAGGUGUUUCGACGAGAACCGUUUUAUUCGGUGCGCAUUACAGCCGUUGAAACGCCAAGAUGCUCGACCGCUUUCACAGUCACUUAGUUCCUCAAGUAGAGUGGGAUGGAUAAGGAGGACAGAGAGGGUGGAAGGAAAAGGGCGAACAGGAGAGCACUUAAACACUCUGACAGUUAAAUUUAAACUGCCCUGUGUUGCGUGGACUAUCAUCCUCCAGUGUUGAUCUGUGUGAGCGCACGACAAACACGCACAACAGGUUCUAAGAGUCUUAUCCUGGAAUUUAUAGUAGAAUAUUUCAUUCGGAAUUCAUAAUUACAUGACAUUAUGUCAGGGGACACGGAUAAAAGGAUAAGGUGUGUUGCUACGGAAUUAACCGUAACACUGCAGAGUGUAAUUUUAGUAUCACCCACGCAAUCAAGCGUUUACAAUUUUCAAAAUUAAUUCUGUGACGCUAUUGUAUUAUUUCAGAGAAGGUUGAAAGUAAUGAGCUUUUAUGAAAAUGAAAAUAGUUUUGAAUUAGUGCUUAAAUACUGCGCUACAUUCAUUUCGUAAUUUGUGUGGUUUCAUUGAAAAAUUAUUAUUAACUGUGUAUUAAAACUAAUUCAGUGUUUGCAAAAGUAAUAUUCAAGAAAUCAUUUAGGUGUUCUCACAACGUUAUUUCAAAUCUUCUUGGAAACUUGGAAGAUGAUGGUAAAAAUUAUGUGUGUAAUAUGUCCUUUAAAAGAACUAACAUUUUUAACUUUUCACGGAUGAGGAUUUUUGAAAUGAUUAAAAACAUUUUCCAUAGAAAGAUAAAUUGUAUAUAAAAUACUUACAAAGUACAAAAGUAGAAAACCAUUUACAGAUUUUUUUGUUGCAGUAAUUGAAUUAGUUGUUUGUAAUUUUCAGUUCUAGGCACGAACGCUUGAUGUCGUCAAUGCGAAGAUGUUCGUCUACAAAGAGUUAACAAUA
Nomia melanderi (Alkali bee) is the source of this 1653-nucleotide non-coding RNA. NCBI's taxonomy places the organism in Eukaryota, Metazoa, Arthropoda, Insecta, Hymenoptera, Halictidae. The record is from RefSeq and is a predicted model, not a curated record.